RNAcentral lists this ribosomal RNA (449 nucleotides) under uncultured soil bacterium. RNAcentral's name for it is "bacterial SSU rRNA". It matches the Rfam family "Bacterial small subunit ribosomal RNA", at positions 8 to 496 of the family's 1533-position model. The record is from RNAcentral.
AGAGUUUGAUCCUGGCUCAGAACGAACGCUGGCGGCAUGCCUAACACAUGCAAGUCGAACGGGAUCCGGACUUCGGUUCGGUGAGAGUGGCGGACGGGUGAGUAACGCGUGGGAACCUGCCCAGUGGUGGGGGAUAACUGCGGGAAACUGCAGCUAAUACCGCAUGAGCCCGAGAGGGGAAAGAUUAUCGCCAUUGGAGGGGCCCGCGUUCGAUUAGGUAGUUGGUGAGGUAAUGGCUUACCAAGCCGACGAUCGAUAGCUGGUCUGAGAGGAUGAUCAGCCACACUGGGACUGAGAUACGGCCCAGACUCCUACGGGAGGCAGCAGUGGGGAAUAUUGGACAAUGGGGGCAACCCUGAUCCAGCAAUGCCGCGUGAGUGAUGAAGGCCUUCGGGUUGUAAAGCUCUUUGCCAGGGACGAUGAUGACGUACCUGGAGAAUUAGGCCCGU